AAUACAAUGGCUUCUGGUCAAUUCAGUCAUAAGAUGUAUUCCUGGCUGGAAAAUUCUGCUAUUUGAAAUCUACAGUUAUACAAGACUGCAAGUUAGACUCUGAAGUUAGGCAGGGUCACAACCCUGGACAGGUAUAGAAUGUAUUCGGUGUUGAGGAGUUUGGACAGCACAGCAGCAGCUGCUCUAGAGCAUAAGCAGAUGGUAAAUGUUCAACUUGAUUAAAUUGACCAGAUGGAAUUGGAUAACAAACUAGAAAUAGUUUGAAAAAAAAGCACAGGUAUGAUGCCUAGAGAUGUAAAAGCCAUUUUACAAGAAUGAGAAUGAGUGCUACAUUUUAAGGAAGGUGGAAUGGAAGGUUAAGAACAGUUAAGAAUGAGGUGAAGACUAAAAAAGGGAAAAUUGUCUUUGUUGAAGAGUGCUUGUCUCCUGACAGUUACUCAGUGAUGCAAUGCUAAAAAGAGCACUGUGCUCAUGGUGGAAAAUAAUUCCCAGGACUUGACAGGAAAGAAUGUACUCAUUCCAUGCCCCAGGCAGAAGUCUGCUGAGACUGAAGAAAGAUAGUUAGUGAGCAAAUUCAUCAAGACCAAUAUCAGGUAUUUCUCCCCUUGGCCUGAUGGCUGAUUUGCUCUCCUCCUGUAAGCAACAAAACUGCAAAACCAGUGCUACAAAACAGAAGCACCUGUAAGUCCGUGGGAGCACAUCUUUGCUCAACAAGAGAUCCUGACAACUAACAACUAA
This 738-nucleotide long non-coding RNA is filed under the name Pongo abelii (Sumatran orangutan). RNAcentral describes it as "lincRNA". Lineage: Eukaryota; Metazoa; Chordata; Mammalia; Primates; Hominidae. The record is from RNAcentral.